GUGUGCUUUCUUUUCUCUUAUUUUUAUUGCUUGAUUAUCUUCCGUAUCUUACGUUCUACGUUUGUUCUAGUUAUCUUUCUUCUAAAAAUGAUCUUAUUUUCGUUGUACUUAUGUGCUGUGUUGAUCGAAGUGUGCUUGAUUAUCCCAUUGCCUGUUCUUUUUGUUUGGUAUUAGAGUGCAGGAGAUUCUUUUAUAGCUGAUUUGAUGUGAAA
This 212-nucleotide long non-coding RNA is filed under the name Elaeis guineensis (African oil palm). RNAcentral's name for it is "long non-coding RNA (EGUI_LNC032600)". The record is from RNAcentral. Lineage: Eukaryota; Viridiplantae; Streptophyta; Magnoliopsida; Arecales; Arecaceae.